UGAGGAAUAUUGGUCAAUGGACGAGAGUCUGAACCAGCCAAGUAGCGUGCAGGAUGACGGCCCUAUGGGUUGUAAACUGCUUUUGUUUGGGAAUAAUCGACAUUACGUGUAAUGUUUUGCAUGUACCAUUCGAAUAAGGACCGGCUAAUUCCGUGCCAGCAGCCGCGGUAAUACGGAAGGUCCAGGCGUUAUCCGGAUUUAUUGGGUUUAAAGGGAGUGUAGGCGGUUGGUUAAGCGUGUUGUGAAAUGUAGCUGCUCAACAUCUGACUUGCAGCGAGAACUGGCUGACUGUAGUACGCACAACGUAGGCGGAAUUCAUGGUGUAGCGGUGAAAUGCUUAGAUAUCAUGAAGAACUCCGAUUGCGAAGGCAGCUUACGGGAGUGUUACUGACGCUUAAGCUCGAAGGUGCGGGUAUCGAACAGG
RNAcentral lists this ribosomal RNA (424 nucleotides) under Verrucomicrobiota bacterium. Its description in RNAcentral is "Verrucomicrobia bacterium partial 16S ribosomal RNA". It matches the Rfam family "Bacterial small subunit ribosomal RNA", at positions 355 to 776 of the family's 1533-position model. Lineage: Bacteria; Pseudomonadati; Verrucomicrobiota. The record is from RNAcentral.